UUGACAGCCCUGCAGACUGACGUUCUCUAUUAAUCUGUAGAACAGAUACAGGCCAGGCAGAAGCAAUGUAAGCUGCUUAUAUGCUACCCUGCUACCAUGCCUUAUCUCUGACCUGCAGGAAGACCAGCCCUAGAGAUAGGUGGCCAGUUCAGUCUCCAUGGCCCUUUCUGUGCUUCUCCUCU
Molecule: small RNA, 182 nt
Filed under: Gopherus agassizii (Agassiz's desert tortoise)
Lineage: Eukaryota; Metazoa; Chordata; Testudines; Testudinidae
Description: TUC338 (ENSGAGG00000005727.1)
Source: RNAcentral